This 2636-nucleotide long non-coding RNA is filed under the name Gossypium barbadense (sea-island cotton). RNAcentral describes it as "long non-coding RNA (GBAR_LNC020144)". The record is from RNAcentral. Lineage: Eukaryota; Viridiplantae; Streptophyta; Magnoliopsida; Malvales; Malvaceae.
UAUCCUACCUUUUUGAACUAUGUCGUUUUAGAUUUUACCCUUCCUAAACCCCCCAAAAUCAAAUCCCUAAAUAUUCCUCUCUCUUUUUUUUUCUCCGUUUUUCCUUUUUCUUUCAUUUCUCUUCUUUUUUUUCCAUUCUUUCCUUGCCUCUUUUCUCUAAUUCCUGAGCCCUUACCCCUCAAAACCCUAACUCUAUCCCCUUUCUUACAAUUUCGACCCAAAAAUUAAUAAAAAAUCUCAUGGGGAGAAGCCGAUAGCCAUGAACAUUGCAGAUUCUAGGGACCAAGCCCUUUCUCUGCUCACUAUCGCACUAACCACUCUGUUUUGGCGAUGAAGCUUUCGUCUCUUAAAUAGGCCAAGGACAUUCUUUCCUCUCUCAAUUCUUCUUCCACCACCGAACUUUCCCCUACCUUUCCGACCUCCAACUUUCUCUUCAUAGCCUCGUUAGGGAAUUCCUAUUGAGUGAGUUUUAAACCCUAAUUCUUUCCAAUUUUAUAUGUUUAUGUUAUUUUAUAUGCUGCUAUUGUAAGCUUAACUGCUCCGCUUAUUAGUUUUGAUAUUUGUGUGAUUAAUGAGCUACAUUUCUUUGACAGAAACAUGAAACAUAAUGAUCUCAUGGUCUUAUUUUUUUGACAGAAACAUGAAGGUUGAGUACUUCUUAGUUCUUUCCUCUACUAAUUUGUUUUUUCAUUGGGUAUUAUGCCUUGUAUUUAAUAAGGAUAGAAAUAUGUUGAUCUCAUGAAUCUGUGUUUGUAUAAAGGUAUAGGUUUAUGUAUUCUGGCCUUAGUUUGCUUCCUAAUCUUUUUGAAUGAUGAGGUUAUACCAUGGGUGGUGCUGUUUUCAUCAACCCAAUGUAGUUUAAAUAAGCAUCCAUAAUACAACUAACAUUAUCAGAUUACCUGUAAGUUUUUACUUGUUUUUGUACAUAUGAUAUAACCUUCAUCAACAAAUAAACCAGCACUUGUCUUUUCUCUUCUUGUACUGUUUUUACUCAGAAUAUUUUCUUACCUGACUAAAAGAACUAGAAACUGAUUAGAAUUGUUAGAAAUGCAUGUAACCAGUCUUAAAAAGUUAAUAGAGUGCCACAAUGUAAAAUAUUAAUCAUGUUAUAAGCAUAAGCCUUAGAGCUCGCUUGAUCUUUCAAGUCAAUUGGAUGGUCAUAAGUUAAGACUGUAACUAUAGCCAUUGAUCAAAUUGAUUUGAUGCUAGUUUCAGCAGCUUGUUUUUUCAAUCAAUUCUGUAAGUAAUAAAAAAUGACACAUCAAAUUAUGCAUCUUGCUUUGGGUUGAGGAUGGCAAUGGAACUUACCAUUGACAUAGCAACUCUUACUACUGAAAUAUUAAAUUAGCUCACUUCCUUUAAUGAUAAUUUUGGUUUUUAUUCAUUUUCCCCUUUAUUUUUUUUAUCAAAUUUCGUUUUUCAUUUCAUGCUUUUAUCUAUUUUGUAAUUUCUUUUUUCAGUUGAAAGAUUGCAGGCGUCAACUCUUUGAUGGGAGAACUUCAAAAUAUAAGUUCAAAUCAGAUUGCUUUACUUGACCACUGUCAAGAACUUGUAUCAACAAUUGUAGCUAUGCAGGUAAAUAUCUUGUUUACAUCCAUCAUUAUUAUUAAGAUAAGCAUCUAAUGCUACUUGAAGUGCUUAAUUUCAAUUUAAAGCAUUCCGCCUCAUUGUUAUGUCUUUGUUGGCAUUACUCAUGUCUUAGUUGUUUUUGUUUAAUUAAAUAUACAGUAUGCGAUGUCAAAGAAGAUUAAAUUUAUGGUAAAUAUCUUGAUUUCUUUUACUCUCAGUAGUGGAAGCAAGAUCAAGCUUUUGUGAUUGCUGUGUGUUUGUGUUCAGUUAUAGUCUUUUGCACUAGAAUUUUCAACUACAAUCACAGUGACAAACUAGGCUUAAACAUUUAUUUUAUGUUGACCUAUUUUUACCUUUAUAAUUUGUUUAGCUUUGCUAUAUUCUCUAUGUACCUCAAUUAAACUGGCAUAGGAGAAGCCUACUCUGUUUUCAUUCUUGAGCGAAUUUGUUUGUUUGGAAUGCUUAUAUCUGGGUAUUUAAUUCUCAAAUGCUUGCUGGUAGAAUUUUCAGAAUCACGGUAAGGAGAACUACUUAAUGGAUGUUACUGUGCAAUUGGAUGUUUCUUUUCCUUGUUAUUUCUUGACCAAUCACUUUCUUCCUAUAUAUGUUAUUAAAUAUGUUUGAUUGCCUUUCUAACUAAGAGAGUCUUAUGAUUUCAGGAGAUUCAAAAGAUUGUAGUCUUCGAAUGUGAAUUUGAAAAAAAAAUAGUAUCAUGAAGGAUGAAGGAGGUUUUGAUGGGGGUUUGGUUGUGCAAGUGGGUCAUCAGAUUUAAUUUUGGACCUCAAUGAACUUGUUCUGGCUUGUUUGCUGUUAGAACAAUUAUUUUAUUUUCCUUUUUUUUUGUAAAUUCUUUUUACAAUGUCUGUGGCUUUUUUAGCCAAGUCAUGUGUUAGUGUAUUUUGAUUGUUGGAUCGAUUUUUGUAAUGAAUAUUCAAGCUUUAUUUUAAUUUUAAUUUUAUAUUUUUAGUUGUAUUUAAAGCACAAUUUCUAUCAUUAUUCAGUGUAAAUGUUAUGAAAAUAUAUCAAUAUUGAAAUAAUAAAAAAUAGAAAAAAUUACCUUAGACGUA